Non-coding RNA from Pelobates cultripes (western spadefoot toad), 313 nucleotides. Lineage: Eukaryota; Metazoa; Chordata; Amphibia; Anura; Pelobatidae. The record is from the annotation of a GenBank genome assembly.
GUUAUAUUGUUAUUUUGAGAAGCUCCACCCAUUUUAUGUAUGUAUACUGUUGAUUUUAAAGUGGUAAAGGGGAUUCCACUUUGAGGUGUAUAGAGCUUCGUAUUGCACAUCUUCCACAUUGUGCACACACUUGUUAUAAAGAUAUGCAAAUAUUCGCCUCCUGUCAUUACUAAAAUUAAGAUUAUUAGUACACUAAAGCUAAUAUAAUCUUCAAUUUUCUGAUAUGAGAUUUCUUAAAAUAUAUAACUGGAAUGCUGAUUUAAUACAAGACCAGUGAAGCCUCUACAUUUUGUACAAUAUUGUUUGACUGUCU